RNAcentral lists this ribosomal RNA (475 nucleotides) under uncultured bacterium. RNAcentral describes it as "bacterial SSU rRNA". It matches the Rfam family "Bacterial small subunit ribosomal RNA", at positions 1 to 466 of the family's 1533-position model. The record is from RNAcentral.
CCCUUAGAGUUUGAUCCUGGCUCAGGAUGAACGCUAGCUACAGGCUUAACACAUGCAAGUCGAGGGGCAGCAUUUUAGUUUGCUUGCAAACUAAAGAUGGCGACCGGCGCACGGGUGAGUAACACGUAUCCAACCUGCCGAUAACUCAGGGAUAGCCUUUCGAAAGAAAGAUUAAUACCUGAUGGCAUAGGAUUAUCGCAUGAUAAUCCUAUUAAAGAAUUUCGGUUAUCGAUGGGGAUGCGUUCCAUUAGGCAGUUGGUGAGGUAACGGCUCACCAAACCUUCGAUGGAUAGGGGUUCUGAGAGGAAGGUCCCCCACAUUGGAACUGAGACACGGUCCAAACUCCUACGGGAGGCAGCAGUGAGGAAUAUUGGUCAAUGGACGGGAGUCUGAACCAGCCAAGUAGCGUGAAGGAUGACUGCCCUAUGGGUUGUAAACUUCUUUUAUACGGGAAUAAAGUGAUCCACGUGUGGAU